Molecule: long non-coding RNA, 1619 nt
Organism: Oryctolagus cuniculus (rabbit)
Lineage: Eukaryota; Metazoa; Chordata; Mammalia; Lagomorpha; Leporidae
Source: Ensembl
AUGGAAUCGGACCAGUUUAGAAAGCUUCCUGGAGAAGGAGCUGCCACUAUUCCCUGUGACUCCUGUGAACAGAAAGGAAUUAUCCUAAGGCAAACCUCAGCCCUAUGCCUGGCAAUCCUGAACCCCUUUGAGUUCUUCCUUUCUGCAGGAGCAAUGGACAAAGAACUGCCCACUGGACACAGGGGAUCCACACUGGCUUUGCCUGCAGUGCAUGAAGGGACUCCCUGGCCUUCAUGGGAGGGUGGAGGAGGGAGAGAAGCAAGCCCCAACCUCAAGGUCAGCGGGGAGGCACAGGCAGCCUCUGGCUUGCUGAGAGAUGCCCGCUGUGGAAAGCGCUCUGGGUGAGGGUGAUUACAAAAGCCCAGCUCUUCCUGCUCACUGAACACGAUGCCCUGCACGUGUGGAAUUAUCAAGGAAGCCUGGCAUCAGGAGCCCAAUGCAGCCCUGGUGAGGAAAGGGCUACGGGAGAGGGAACAUUCUAGAAGCCAAGGACUUUGGCAGCAGCUCCGGGGGAGGGGAAGUGAGGAUGUCUUCUGUUCCCAGGGACGGCUUCCCUGUUGUGCUGCUGGCCUCCGCUCAUACUUUGCUCCCCUGCUCUUUGGAAGCUGAACAGUCCCCUUUUACAGAGUGUGGACACACGAGCUUUGUGGAACUGCCUGGCAGUGCGUCCUGCAGGUACAAGGAGCCACUGUUCUUGCCUCUCAACCACACUUGACCUUCGACACUGGAAUUUUCAAGUAAUGAAGUGAAAUCAUUUUGAGUAGCUUCGUGGGCCAUAGUUUGAAGAUGGUUUCUCAGUCUCAUGUUGGAGCUUAAAUUUUAAUUUAUUUAUUUUUAUUUAGCUGUUGGCAGAGAGAAGAGACACACAGACACGUAGAUAGAGUAAGAGCAUGAGGGACAAAGAUGUCACAUCUGCCAGUUCAUUCCUCAAAUGCCUUCAAUAGCCAGAUUAGGAGACCAGAGCCUAAUCCAGGUCUCCAGUGUCGUAGGCAGGGAUCCAAAUACAUGAGCCACCAUGUGCUGUCACCCAGACUGCACAUUGGUAGGAAGCUGGAAUUGGGAGCAUCAGUGGAGCUGGGACUUGAACCCAAGCACUAUGGCAGCUUGACUGCCAGGUCAACCCCCCACCCCUCAUGUUGGAGUUUAAUCCUCAGUGUGAGGUCUUAAGGGGACAGAAACUUAAUCUGACCAUAGUAUUCAGAGUUGGGGCCUCUGGGAGAAAGGACAAGAUCAUGAGGUGGAGCCUCCAUGAUUGAAUACUGGUGACUUCAAAAGAAGAAAGAAGGGGCUGGCGCUACGGCAUAGCAGGUGAAGCCCCCCCUGCAGUGCCGGCAUCUCAUGUGGGCACUGGUUUGAGCCCAGCUGUUCCACUUCCGAUCCAGCUCUCUGCUGUGGCCUGGGAAAGCAGUAGAAGAUGGCCCAAGUCCUUGGGCCCUUGCACCUGCUUGGGAGACUAAGAAGAGGCUCCUGGCUCCUGACUUUGGGUUGGCACAGCUCCAGUUGUUGUGGCCAUCAGGGGAGUGAACCAGAGGAUGGAAGACCUCUCUCUCUCCGUCUCUGCCUUUCUGUAACUCUGACUUUCAAAUAAAUAAAUAAAUCUAAAAAAAAGAAAGAAAUCA